This 253-nucleotide ribosomal RNA is filed under the name uncultured Eubacteriales bacterium. RNAcentral's name for it is "uncultured Clostridiales bacterium partial 16S ribosomal RNA". It matches the Rfam family "Bacterial small subunit ribosomal RNA", at positions 524 to 776 of the family's 1533-position model. The record is from RNAcentral. Lineage: Bacteria; Bacillati; Bacillota; Clostridia; Eubacteriales.
UACGUAGGGGGCAAGCGUUAUCCGGAUUUACUGGGUGUAAAGGGAGCGUAGACGGCGAAGAAAGUCUGAAGUGAAAGCCCGCGGCUCAACCGCGGAAUGGCUUUGGAAACUUUUUUGCUGGAGUGCCGGAGGGGCAAGCGGAAUUCCUAGUGUAGCGGUGAAAUGCGUAGAUAUUAGGAGGAACACCAGUGGCGAAGGCGACUCACUGGACUGUAACUGACGCUGAGGCUCGAAAGCGUGGGGAGCAAACAGG